UUGAAGUUAUCAAUUUCCGGUACUAAUAUUAAACCCGGAAGACUAGAAAUCCACCAUUUUGCUACAAUGAUUUUAUACGUGUGCUCGUUGUAAUCAUGUACAUUUAUAGCCUGUGAAUAUUGAAUAUAACAAAGUUUUUAAUAUAUAAAUAAAAUAACUAUAAUAGUAUAUAAAUUAAAUUUUAUUAAUUGUUAUUUAAAUUUUUAAAUAAAUAAUUAAUUAUGGGACGUAAGAAGAAGAAGCAGUCAAGACCCUGGUGCUGGUAUUGUAAUCGUGAAUUCGAUGAUGAAAAGAUUUUGAUUCAACAUCAAAAAGCUAAACAUUUUAAAUGUCAUAUUUGUCAUAAAAAAUUAUACACUGGUCCGGGACUAAGUAUACAUUGUAUGCAGGUGCACAAAGAAGCAAUAGAUAAAGUACCAAACUCGAUGCCAAAUCGUAGUAAUAUAGAAAUAGAAAUAUAUGGAAUGGAAGGAAUACCACCAAAUGAUUUAAAAGAACAUGAACGGCAAAGAAAUGGCGGUAGACCAGGAUCACCAAGUUCGGGUGAAGAUGAACCAGCACAAAAAAAAUCUAAACCUGAAGGUUUAUUGGGUUCAGCGCCUGGACAGAUGCCAACUAAUUCAGGAAUGAUGCCUGGUAUGAUGCAAGGCAUGCCAGGACACCAUCCGAUGCAUCAGAUGGGUCAGUAUCCUCCACCGAUGCAUCAUAUGAUGGGACAUAUGGGUCAUGUUGGUCCGCCAUUCAUGCAAGGAAUGAUGCAAGGUAUGCCAGGAAUGCCUCCAGGUAUGCAACCACCAGUGUCUGGUGCGUCAAUGCCAACGAGGCCGCUUUUCCCAGCUGUUGUAUCAACAGCUACAUCAUCAGUACAUAAUUCAACACCUAUUGGUACUGAUUUCAAACCCAUAACCUCGGUAGCUGGUGGCUCUAUAGGUCCAAUAAAACCUACAUUUCCGGCUUACAGCAGUGAAUCAACUGCUACAAUGAAUAAUAUUCAUGAUCAGAAGGUUAAUUUAAUUGCUACAACUGGUGCCGCAAGUAAAAUAAUUCAUCCGCCCGAAGAUCUCAGUCUUGAGGAAAUAAGGGCGAGAUUACCUAAAUAUCAACGUCGUCAGAAUGACGAAUCAAAUCGUAAUUCUGUUAAUUCAGAAGCAUCACACCAAGCUGCUGUUCUGCAUCAACAGCAACAACAGCAUCAGCAACAACAACAACAACAACAUCAACAUCAGCAACAACAACAGCAGCAGCAUCAUCAACAACAGCAGCAGCAACAACAGCAACAACAACAGCAAGCGGCGCAACAGCAACAAGUGGCAGCCGUGAACGCAGCGGCGGCAUUCCAAGAUCAGCAGCAACGACAACAAGCUGCACUGUCUGCAUUACAGCAGCAACAGCAACGUUUUCAGAGGCCACCACAGAUGAUGGUACCUGCAACGGCUGCUAUUCCUGUUUCCUCCGUUGCGCUCAUGGCUCCACUAAUGCGCCCAACAAUGACACUUGCUGCUCCUGCUCUCAUUCACGGAGGUAACAUGAUGCGACCGCCCCCCAUGGGCCUGCCACCAGGACGCCCAGUCACUCCUUGGUGAGUGUUGAACAACCCUCGUCUGGUUACUAAAUACGUGUUUUAUUCAAGUACAACAAGGUAUGAUUGGGGCAUUGCCCCCAGGUGCGAUGCAUCCAGCAUUCGCAGCGCCAAUGGGAUUUCCUGGUGGCCCAAUGCUAACACCGAUGAUGCAUCCACGCUUCAGAUGAUCACCUCAAACUAACGGGCCUAAUCCAUCAUUGCAUUUUGUGCUCUGGGCCCGACCAUAACUUUGGCUUGAACAUUAUAAAUUAAUUGAACUUUAAAUAUAAUAACAAUUAUUAUAUACAAUUAACGACGAAAGCCAUGGGUUUGGAAAUUCUCAAGAGGACAGUGCGACGUUAAAGACAUCAUCAUCAAUCACGCCACUCAAUGAUCCUCCAAGUUAACACGAAGUUAGCAAAAGUCUUUGUUUUUUUUUUUUUUUUUUUUUAUUACUAUGAUUAUUAAAUAUUGUUACGCUAUAAACAGUAUUUGGAAAUAUGAAAAAUAAUUCCAGGUACUGUUUUCGAUCCACAGGAUAUUCUAGUGUGGAUACGGGUGGCGCUUCACGCUGCCGCUAAAAAAAUACUUGUUUUUUUUUUUAUUAUUUAUUUAUUUAAAAAAAUUAGAAAUAAAUUGAUUGACUUUGGAUUUAUUUUGAACAAUUUAAAUAAUAUUGUGAGUACGCAUUUAAUGGAUGAAAGUAAGAAUGUAAAAAUAUAAACGAAAUUAAUAAUUAAUAUUUAGGAAUUAUAAAAUAAAUAAAAUAGUUUAUUAGCCGCAGCGUGAAGGUUUCGGUUACCUCAGGUUAGUCUGCCGUAAAUAUUUUUAUUUUGUUAAGAAUCAUUUUCAAAUCUUUAUUUAUUAAUUAACAACAUUAUUACUAUUAUUAUUUUAUAUUAAUACUGUUUGUUGUUUUAAAUUGAUAAAUUAUUUACUUAAUGUUGUUAAUUUAAUAAAUUAAGAAAUAAUGAUUCUUUAUUUUCAUUCAAGCAACUUAACGUGUCGACGACGCAUGAGUGAGUGGUAAGUACGGAGAGUGCUCACAAAAAAACUUAUCAAAAGAAAAAUAAAAUAAUAAAUUUUAAUUAAAAAAAAGUACGAACACCAGCUUUUUACACUAAAAGCGCGACUCUUAUUCAAAUACUCUUUUCUUAAAUUUAUCGGUAUUCAAAUAUCUUCCUAUAGAUUUUUUAUUCUUCAAUAAUAAAUAUAUUGUAUUAUAAUGAGUAUUCACGUUUUUAAAUAGCGGAUUUUUUUUUUAUAUUAAACUCAUUUUACUUCCUAACUAAUUAAUGAUCCAAAUUAAAAUCAAAGUAUAAAAUGAAAUAAAACGAUUUAUGGAUAAAAAUUAAUGAAUCAUUACCGUGCUCUGAACACGUGUACGUACAAAUACUACGUAUUGUUAUUAUAAUUAUUUUAUUUUAUUAAUUGUCUUUCUGAAUAAUUAACAAUUAGGGUAGAAAAAAAUAAUAGACAUUUUAAUUGAUUUUAAUUUUACAUAAAACAAUGAAUUUGACGAGUUAUUAUUAAUAAUUAUUCUUAAAUUAAUUCAGGAGGACAAUUUGAAUUAAAAAAUUAAAUUAAAUAUGUAGAAUUAUUCAGUGAGUGUCGCCGACAAAUUUUUUUCUUUUUUUUUAAUCUAAUUUAAUUGUUUUUUUUUUAAUUUUUUUUAAAAAUAAAUCUGUGGAAAGUUUUGAUGGGUUUGGGCACAGCCUGACGUUUUAGGAAAACUUGAAAAAAAAAAAAUUAUAAAUAUAUAACGAUAAAUAAAACUAAAACUUUUAAAUAUACUAGGAAAUAAUAAAAUUAAAAAAUUGUAAUAUGCUUGUAAAAUAUUACACAUGUAAUUAAUUUAUUACUUUAUAAUAUUUGUAUUAGAUUUUUAAAUGAAUUAUUAUUAAUUUUUUUUUAUAUUUAAAUUUAUUAACUAUUAAUAUAUUAAUUAUAUUAAUAAAUUUCCUGAAACGAGCAGGCAAUAGUCACACAUUGUUUAAAGCAAUCACAGCUUACAUCGCUGUUGGACCAAACGUUUUUUUUUUUUUUUUUUUUUUUUUAUUUAUUUACUUUUUUUUUCUCUCUCUCUCUCUCUCUAUCUUUCAUUUGGUCCCUUGUCUUGUAUCAAAAAGACAGGCGAUUGUUUUGAUCGUUAUCAUUUUGUCAAGUUGCUUAUUAUUAUACUUCUUAAAUACUUAAAUUUAUAUAAAUUUAAACUUUAAAUACGAUAAAUAAAUUAAUGAAGACUAUAGUUAAAUAAAUUGUAAUUUAAACAAUUUAAUAUUAAUAAUAAAAUAAUUAGAUAAAAUCAAAUGUAAAGAGAGUUGACUUGACAAUAUGACCGAGUGACUAAAUAGUAAUAUAUAUAUAAAUAAGUAAUUAAUUAAAUAAAAUUAAUAAAAAAUAAAUGAAAAUUUAUCGAUAAUUGCAAAAGUUUGAUUUAUUAACCGAUUAAUCCAACAAUUGUAUCUAAAAUUUUAAUAAUAAAAAAAAAAAAAAAAUUAUCAAGUUUUUCGUGUCUUAAUUAUUUCAAUACCAUGCUAUUGUAUUAUAUUUGUUUUGUAAUAUAUAUUUCAUAAAUUGUUAAUAAUUAGUAAUUAUUUUUUUGUAAUUAAUGUCGACAUUGAGAGAAUGGAAAGUGAGUGAUGAUAAUUUUUUUUUUUUGUUGGUUUAGAUACAAUUGUCUGGUGAAUGCUCAGUUCUGUGUCUAACUAUUGAUAUUAUAAUUAUAGUUUAUAAUUAAAUUUUGCGCCACAGUAAAAAAUAUUGUGUAUCUGUGUUGAAAACGGUCCGUGUUAAUUAUUUUAAUCAACACAUGUUACUGUAUCACUUGAAAAUUUUAAAUUGAUCUACUAUUUAACACCUUAAAAGUGUUACUUUGUACAAAAAUCUAAAUUAUCAAAAUUUAGUAUGUGUUACUUUAAAAUUAACACAAAAUUAAUGUUGAAAACUCAAUCGAUAGUCACGGAAGAAUUAUUAGAAAAUGAAAGUGAAAUCUUCAUUUUAUAAAUGUCAAUUUAUUAUUAUUAUUAACAUGAAACUUUUCAUUUUAUUAAUAAAUUAAAUUCACUAUAUACUAAAAGCUGGAAUGUUUAUCAUACUACACUGAGAGAAAAAAGUGUAUAUUUCCAAGUAAAAUUUCUUGAUUUAAGUAUUAUUUUACUUAAAUAGUGCCAAGUAAAUAUUUUCUUAAUUUUAGUAAAUAUUUUCUUAAUUUUAGUAAAAAUGCAUUGUCUGUAGAAAUUUAUGAGUAGAUUCAAACAAUUGUUAUAAAGAUAAGAAAUAUUAUACUUCGAUGCAGUAAAUUUUUUUUUGUUUUCAGUAUUAUGAGUUAAGU
Microplitis mediator is the source of this 4895-nucleotide RNA transcript. It is a transcript of the gene named BUB3-interacting and GLEBS motif-containing protein ZNF207, with no coding region annotated. The transcript has 7 exons. Lineage: Eukaryota; Metazoa; Arthropoda; Insecta; Hymenoptera; Braconidae. The record is from RefSeq and is a predicted model, not a curated record.